GAUGAACGCUAGCGGCAGGCCUAAUACAUGCAAGUCGAGGGGCAGCGCGGUAGCAAUACUGGCGGCGACCGGCGCACGGGUGCGUAACACGUAUGCAACCUACCUUCAACUGGAGGAUAGCCCGGGGAAACUCGGAUUAAUACUCCAUAACACAGGGAUCCCGCAUGGGAAUAUUGUUAAAGCUACGGCGGUUGAAGAUGGGCAUGCGUUCGAUUAGCUAGUUGGUGUAGGUAACGGCUCACCAAGGCUACGAUCGAUAGGGGGUCUGAGAGGAUGAUCCCCCACACUGGUACUGAGAUACGGGCCAGACUCCUACGGGAGGCAGCAGUAGGGAAUAUUGGUCAAUGGAUGGAAGUCUGAACCAGCCAUGCCGCGUGCAGGAAGAAGGGCCCUUUCUGGGUUGUAAACUGCUUUGCCAGGGGAUAAAAUGACCUUG
This 436-nucleotide ribosomal RNA is filed under the name uncultured bacterium. RNAcentral's name for it is "bacterial SSU rRNA". It matches the Rfam family "Bacterial small subunit ribosomal RNA", at positions 28 to 458 of the family's 1533-position model. The record is from RNAcentral.